UACAUGGCAGGUCGAACGAACUCUGGUAUUGAUUGGUGCUUGCAUCAUGAUUUACAUUUGAGUGAGUGGCGAACUGGUGAGUAACACGUGGGAAACCUGCCCAGAAGCGGGGGAUAACACCUGGAAACAGAUGCUAAUACCGCAUAACAACUUGGACCGCAUGGUCCGAGUUUGAAAGAUGGCUUCGGCUAUCACUUUUGGAUGGUCCCGCGGCGUAUUAGCUAGAUGGUGGGGUAACGGCUCACCAUGGCAAUGAUACGUAGCCGACCUGAGAGGGUAAUCGGCCACAUUGGGACUGAGACACGGCCCAAACUCCUACGGGAGGCAGCAGUAGGGAAUCUUCCACAAUGGACGAAAGUCUGAUGGAGCAACGCCGCGUGAGUGAAGAAGGGUUUCGGCUCGUAAAACUCUGUUGUUAAAGAAGAACAUAUCUGAGAGUAACUGUUCAGGUAUUGACGGUAUUUAACCAGAAAGCCACGGCUAACUACGUGCCAGCAGCCGCGGUAAUACGUAGGUGGCAAGCGUUGUCCGGAUUUAUUGGGCGUAAAGCGAGCGCAGGCGGUUUUUUAAGUCUGAUGUGAAAGCCUUCGGCUCAACCGAAGAAGUGCAUCGGAAACUGGGAAACUUGAGUGCAGAAGAGGACAGUGGAACUCCAUGUGUAGCGGUGAAAUGCGUAGAUAUAUGGAAGAACACCAGUGGCGAAGGCGGCUGUCUGGUCUGUAACUGACGCUGAGGCUCGAAAGUAUGGGUAGCAACAGGAUUAGAUACCCUGGUAGUCCAUACCGUAAACGAUGAAUGCUAAGUGUUGGAGGGUUUCCGCCCUUCAGUGCUGCAGCUAACGCAUUAAGCAUUCCGCCUGGGGAGUACGGCCGCAAGGCUGAAACUCAAAGGAAUUGACGGGGGCCCGCACAAGCGGUGGAGCAUGUGGUUUAAUUCGAAGCUACGCGAAGAACCUUACCAGGUCUUGACAUACUAUGCAAAUCUAAGAGAUUAGACGUUCCCUUCGGGGACAUGGAUACAGGUGGUGCAUGGUUGUCGUCAGCUCGUGUCGUGAGAUGUUGGGUUAAGUCCCGCAACGAGCGCAACCCUUAUUAUCAGUUGCCAGCAUUAAGUUGGGCACUCUGGUGAGACUGCCGGUGACAAACCGGAGGAAGGUGGGGAUGACGUCAAAUCAUCAUGCCCCUUAUGACCUGGGCUACACACGUGCUACAAUGGAUGGUACAACGAGUUGCGAACUCGCGAGAGUAAGCUAAUCUCUUAAAGCCAUUCUCAGUUCGGAUUGUAGGCUGCAACUCGCCUACAUGAAGUCGGAAUCGCUAGUAAUCGCGGAUCAGCAUGCCGCGGUGAAUACGUUCCCGGGCCUUGUACACACCGCCCGUCACACCAUGAGAGUUUGUAACACCCAAAGUCGGUGGGGUAACCUUUUUAGGAACGCAAGACCAA
This 1443-nucleotide ribosomal RNA is filed under the name Lactiplantibacillus pentosus. RNAcentral's name for it is "bacterial SSU rRNA". It matches the Rfam family "Bacterial small subunit ribosomal RNA". The record is from RNAcentral. Lineage: Bacteria; Bacillati; Bacillota; Bacilli; Lactobacillales; Lactobacillaceae.